This 811-nucleotide non-coding RNA is filed under the name Pongo abelii (Sumatran orangutan). The record is from RNAcentral. Lineage: Eukaryota; Metazoa; Chordata; Mammalia; Primates; Hominidae.
GAGUGGCUCUCCCUCCACAGACCCAAAAGGCUGAACUGGUGAACCUGCUGCAUCUGUGGGCAGAAUUAGGAUGAAAAGCACUACCUCUGUGAAAUACAAAAUCUCUGUGGAAGAAAAAUCAAUUCGGUUCUUGCAGUGAGAUUUCCGGACCACUGUCUUGUAUGUUUCCUAAGAAAAGCAAAAAGGGAAGAGAUUGAAGAGAAAGUAGAUUUUCAGCUACAAACUUUCAUCCAUUAGCUUUCAGCUUAAGCAAAUGUGCGCAAAGUUGUCAUGGAUCUUUGCGGUCAAUAAAAACCAAGCAAGAAGACUGAAUCCCAAGUCAUCUGGUAUAAAUGGAAGCAGUUUCUGUUAUGGUUCCACGCUGUCAGAAGGGUCAUCCUGGCUUAGGAGAGGGGCAGAAGGGGAAAUGCACGCGUGGAAACAGGACUGGGCAGGGAGGAUGUGACACUGUCCUCCUCACCAGGCCACGUUCCUGGCACCAACCAUAGUGUUUGUGUCAAUUUAAUUGUUCUUGUACUCUCAUAGAGGAAGCUGUGUCUUUCAUCCCCUUGUAAGAGUUUUCACUGAUGAAGGUGGUCUUUUAUCUUCAUAUCUUGGGAACUACUGAAACUGUUUCAAAGAGUCAAAGACACCAAUAACUAACAGAAAUUCUUGUUUUCAGGGGCAGAUAAGAAAAGAAACAAUUUGCUGAAACUCCCUCUGCUUAUAACAAAACUGACUGAAAUCAGCUGGAAUCAAUAUGGCCAAAUGCAGUUUGCACACAGCAAGCUUGCUGAUGUCACAGCCUGAAUUUCUACCGCAUGUUUCAUAU